UUUGAAACACCGGUUCUCGAACGAAAACCGAAGUUAAGCAACGUUGAGCAUGAUCAGUACCUAGAUGGGUAACCCCUUUUGAAUACCAGGUGCUGUAA
Non-coding RNA from Acanthosepion pharaonis, 98 nucleotides. NCBI's taxonomy places the organism in Eukaryota, Metazoa, Mollusca, Cephalopoda, Sepiida, Sepiidae. The record is from the annotation of a GenBank genome assembly.